GACGAACGCUGGCGGCGUGCCUAAUACAUGCAAGUCGAGCGGAGCUUAUCCUUCGGGAUAAGCUUAGCGGCGGACGGGUGAGUAACACGUAGGCAACCUGCCCCUUAGCCUGGGAUAACUACCGGAAACGGUAGCUAAUACCGGAUAAUCCCUUUCCUCGCCUGAGGAAAGGAUAAAAGGCGGAGCAAUCUGCUGAUAAGGGAUGGGCCUGCGGCGCAUUAGCUAGUUGGUGAGGUAACGGCUCACCAAGGCGACGAUGCGUAGCCGACCUGAGAGGGUGAACGGCCACACUGGGACUGAGACACGGCCCAGACUCCUACGGGAGGCAGCAGUAGGGAAUCUUCCGCAAUGGGCGAAAGCCUGACGGAGCAACGCCGCGUGAGUGAUGAAAGGUUUUCGGAUCGUAAAGCUCUGUUGCCAGGGAAG
RNAcentral lists this ribosomal RNA (426 nucleotides) under Paenibacillus sp. oral taxon 048. RNAcentral's name for it is "bacterial SSU rRNA". It matches the Rfam family "Bacterial small subunit ribosomal RNA", at positions 28 to 447 of the family's 1533-position model. Lineage: Bacteria; Bacillati; Bacillota; Bacilli; Caryophanales; Paenibacillaceae. The record is from RNAcentral.